RNAcentral lists this ribosomal RNA (778 nucleotides) under uncultured beta proteobacterium. RNAcentral describes it as "bacterial SSU rRNA". It matches the Rfam family "Bacterial small subunit ribosomal RNA", at positions 61 to 832 of the family's 1533-position model. The record is from RNAcentral. Lineage: Bacteria; Pseudomonadati; Pseudomonadota; Betaproteobacteria.
GUCGAACGGCAGCACGGGAGCAAUCCUGGUGGCGAGUGGCGAACGGGUGAGUAAUACAUCGGAACGUGUCCUGUAGUGGGGGAUAGCCCGGCGAAAGCCGGAUUAAUACCGCAUACGCUCUACGGAGGAAAGGGGGGGAUCUUAGGACCUCCCGCUACAGGGGCGGCCGAUGGCAGAUUAGCUAGUUGGUGGGGUAAAGGCCUACCAAGGCGACGAUCUGUAGCUGGUCUGAGAGGACGACCAGCCACACUGGGACUGAGACACGGCCCAGACUCCUACGGGAGGCAGCAGUGGGGAAUUUUGGACAAUGGGCGAAAGCCUGAUCCAGCAAUGCCGCGUGUGUGAAGAAGGCCUUCGGGUUGUAAAGCACUUUUGUCCGGAAAGAAAACGUCGUGGUUAAUACCCGUGGCGGAUGACGGUACCGGAAGAAUAAGCACCGGCUAACUACGUGCCAGCAGCCGCGGUAAUACGUAGGGUGCAAGCGUUAAUCGGAAUUACUGGGCGUAGAGCGUGCGCAGGCGGUUCGCUAAGACAGAUGUGAAAUCCCCGGGCUUAACCUGGGAACUGCAUUUGUGACUGGCGGGCUAGAGUAUGGCAGAGGGGGGUAGAAUUCCACGUGUAGCAGUGAAAUGCGUAGAGAUGUGGAGGAAUACCGAUGGCGAAGGCAGCCCCCUGGGCCAAUACUGACGCUCAUGCACGAAAGCGUGGGGGAGCAAACAGGAUUAGAUACCCUGGUAGUCCACGCCCUAAACCGAUGUCAACUAGUUGUUGGGUCUUC